Cyprinus carpio (common carp) is the source of this 1004-nucleotide long non-coding RNA. Lineage: Eukaryota; Metazoa; Chordata; Actinopteri; Cypriniformes; Cyprinidae. The record is from Ensembl.
UUUGUAAUCUCAAAUGCGUAAAGAUUUAAUUGUUUGAAAAGGGCACUUCUUUUUAGAUAGGCUAGCCUACCUAUUAUAAGUUACCUGAAACAUGAACGACUCUUGCUCUUUCAGUAAUGUUCAGUGAAUUGCCUGCAUUUGUCCGUAUUUGUCUUUAAAUCCAUUAGGGAAAUAUAAAAUGUAAUCAUUCCAAUGGCGUGCGUUUCAACUUUAAUAAGUGUUACAAAUUAAUCGAGCUUUAAUUUCUAAUUUAAAAGCGUGUGUUCAGUCCGCCCUCUAAUGAACAAUGAGUGUAAUGACAUCCACUAGCAUCCAUUUACUAAUGUGUAUCUCACAUAAUAACCUUACAAUAAACACUCAACAUUUGCUUUAAUAAUCAUUUAUAUUUAACAGUAUUUCUCUCUCUCUCUCUCUCGUUAUUAUCUGCAGGAAUAUUGCUCUGCAUGUCUUCUUUAAGCUCAGUCUUGGCACAGUCUACCUAAAUAGUUUUGUGCAGUGUAUCCGGUCCUGUGCUUUGUAUCUUCUCCGUGGAGGAAAAGUGAAGUCUCCUGAGUGUCCUGAGAAAAAACGAUCUGUGACCUUCUGCAGAGAGACUCACCGUGAAGCCGAUGCCCACAGUAGCAGAGAAGGACCCUGAGAUGAAUUUUCCCUGGUCAAACUGCACUAACAGAGACGUCUUCCCCACUCCACUGUCUCCAACUAGUAUGGUCUGCAACAGACAGGAACAGAUGCACAAACAGAUGGAGGGUCAAGUGAAGAUAAAGAGAGGAUUCUCAAGCGUGCAGGGAAAAAAAUCCGGCAUUUAGAGACAAAAUUGCAGAUUCUGCGUUAUGAUUGGUCUGAUCACCUGUCAAUCAAACUCCCUGGGACGGGUCAGGAUUUGAUGAUCGUUUGAGACUGUUUAGAGGAUCAUAUGAAUAUAUGUUUAUUCUUCUGAGUUUCGUGAAAUAAUCAAAUGCAUUGAGUCACAUAGCAAUGCUUUGCACUGCUGAACAAACAAAUAA